This 578-nucleotide ribosomal RNA is filed under the name uncultured bacterium. RNAcentral describes it as "partial 16S ribosomal RNA". It matches the Rfam family "Bacterial small subunit ribosomal RNA", at positions 355 to 926 of the family's 1533-position model. The record is from RNAcentral.
UGGGGAAUUUUGGACAAUGGGGGAAACCCUGAUCCAGCCAUCCCGCGUGUGCGAUGAAGGCCUUCGGGUUGUAAAGCACUUUUGGCAGGAAAGAAACGUCGCGGGUUAAUACCCCGCGAAACUGACGGUACCUGCAGAAUAAGCACCGGCUAACUACGUGCCAGCAGCCGCGGUAAUACGUAGGGUGCAAGCGUUAAUCGGAAUUACUGGGCGUAAAGCGUGCGCAGGCGGUUCGGAAAGAAAGAUGUGAAAUCCCAGAGCUUAACUUUGGAACUGCAUUUUUAACUACCGGGCUAGAGUGUGUCAGAGGGAGGUGGAAUUCCGCGUGUAGCAGUGAAAUGCGUAGAUAUGCGGAGGAACACCGAUGGCGAAGGCAGCCUCCUGGGAUAACACUGACGCUCAUGCACGAAAGCGUGGGGAGCAAACAGGAUUAGAUACCCUGGUAGUCCACGCCCUAAACGAUGUCAACUAGCUGUUGGGGCCUUCGGGCCUUGGUAGCGCAGCUAACGCGUGAAGUUGACCGCCUGGGGAGUACGGUCGCAAGAUUAAAACUCAAAUGAAUUGACGGGGGUCGAUAC